AUUUAAUUGGAGAGUUUGAUCCUGGCUCAGAAUGAACGCUGGCGGCGUGCUUAACACAUGCAAGUCGUACGAGAAAUCUUCAGCUUGCUGAAGAGAGUAAAGUGGCGCACGGGUGAGUAACGCGUGGGUAAUCUACCCUUGAAUCGGGGAUAACGUUGCGAAAGCGACGCUAAUACCGGAUAACAUCAUAAAGGUUUCGGCCUUAAUGAUCAAAGAUGACCUCUACAUGUAAGUUGUUGUUUGAGGAGGAGCCCGCGUACCAUUAGCUUGUUGGUAGGGUAAUGGCCUACCAAGGCCGCGAUGGUUAGCUGGUCUGAGAGGAUGAUCAGCCACACUGGAACUGACACACGGUCCAGACUCCUACGGGAGGCAGCAGUGAGGAAUUUUGCGCAAUGG
Molecule: ribosomal RNA, 396 nt
Filed under: Olavius algarvensis Delta 4 endosymbiont
Lineage: Bacteria; Deltaproteobacteria
Also listed under: 1 other name
Description: SSU rRNA
Rfam family: Bacterial small subunit ribosomal RNA
Source: RNAcentral